GCUAAACGCGAAGAACCUUACCAAGGCUUGACAUGGAUUUCUAAGCGCGUGAAAACGCGUGACCCUUCGGGGGACUUCCACAGGUGCUGCAUGGCCGUCGUCAGCUCGUGUCGUGAGAUGUUGGGUUAAGCCCCGCAACGAGCGCAACCCUUGUGACUAGUUGCCAGCGGGUCAUGCCGGGAACUCUAGUCAGACUGCCCAGAUCAACUGGGAGGAAGGUGGGGACGACGUCAGGUCAGUAUGGCCCUUACGCCUUGGGCUGCACACGUACUACAAUGCCCAGCACAAUGAGAACCGAUGCCGCGAGGUGGAGGAAAUCUGGAAAACUGGGCCCAGUUCGGAUUGGAGGCUGCAACUCGCCUCCAUGAAGUUGGAAUCGCUAGUAAUGGCGCAUCAUCCACGGCGCCGUGAAUACGUUCCCGGGUCUUGUACACACCG
RNAcentral lists this ribosomal RNA (438 nucleotides) under uncultured bacterium. RNAcentral's name for it is "bacterial SSU rRNA". It matches the Rfam family "Bacterial small subunit ribosomal RNA", at positions 954 to 1392 of the family's 1533-position model. The record is from RNAcentral.